This is a long non-coding RNA of Triticum dicoccoides, 2856 nucleotides long. RefSeq lists it as uncharacterized. The transcript is spliced from 9 exons. The record is from RefSeq and is a predicted model, not a curated record. NCBI's taxonomy places the organism in Eukaryota, Viridiplantae, Streptophyta, Magnoliopsida, Poales, Poaceae.
ACUGGCGACGUGCGGGCCUGUGGUUGGGCGUGGGCGUGAACCCUAGCCCCCAGUCUCCAGCCGCCACACCCCUCCCUCCUCCUCACUCCCUCGCCACACCGUCGCACCAUCUCCCUCCUCCCUCAUCACCAGCCACAGCACCAGGACAUUUGCCACCGACGAGAUCCAGCGCCUGGCAAGGUCCUCGGGUCGGCUGUCGCACCCACCACUCCGUCGACCGGAUCUGCGCCCUUGACUCCCUCUUCUCUCGCGUCACGCGGUGCCUCUGCUCCACCAUGCCGUGGUUACCUCAUGGAUGACGAGGCCAUGGACAUGUCCUUGAGGGAGAGAAGGAAUAUGACGGAGAGAGAACAAAGAAGGAAGGAGAGGCAGGAGAAGGAGAGAGGAAAGAGGAGAGGGAGGUGCAGCGGCGGAUGGGAGAUGGUCAUCGGCUGACAUUAGUCAUUCAUCCAUUCGCAUCUCUCCUCCUCUCCUGCUCUCGACCACCAAUGCGCCCCCUCCUCCUUCCCUUCUCUUCUCACCAUCUCCUCUUCUUUGGAGCUAGCUGAGUGAUCCACGGCGAGGAAGAUAGGGAAGACAGAGCCAACACCCCCAAUGCCCACGGGCCACUUCAGUCAGGUGCCUUCCAUACUUCCUCCUUCGCGAUUUCCAAUCCAAGCAGAGCAUAAAAUGGAGUCGGCAACAGGGAUGAUGGGAGAAACAAUGGUGGAUGAACAGUGGACACCCGAUUCUGGCUGAGAAAGAGGGAAGCAGUGCGUGGCGGAAGAGGCGUCCAUGUGGUAUCCAUUUCUGGUCAUCUUCAGCUUGCAGGUGAGCGGUUUACUAAAAUUGUAGCCAGUCCAUACUACAUGCUCCCAGAGGUAUUAAAGCACAAGUGCGGCCCUGAAAUCGAUGUCUGGAUUGUAGGAGUUAUACUUUACAUACUUCUUUGUGGUGUGCAAACAUUUUUGGAAGAUUCUGAACAGGGAGUAGCACAAGCAAUUAUGUGCUCUAUGGUAGAUUUCAAAAGAGACCCAAGGCCUGGAGUAUCUGAGCCUGCUAAAGACUUUGUUCGACAGACGCUGGAUCCAGAUCCAAUCACACGGUUUACUACAACACACGUACUCGGUGGUGUCUGUCGGUAGGGUCUCCCUAAACACGCGUCAUCAAAUCCAACUGCAAGAUACAUGACAAGCUAUGAUUGAAUACCAUGUACAAGUAUGGGGACAAAAUAGUAAACAACAAAUAAAGGAUACUAGACGGAGAUACUGGACGGACGCAUGGAGCAUGAACUCCUCUUUUUCAGGGGCCACCUUACUUGUGUGCCCUCAGGACGAGGAGACCUUUCUAAGAUCAAUAUCCUUGCCGAAAUAUUUCCCUGGGCUGAAUACACUUCUUAUCCCAAAGCGAUAAACAUGCCUAUGUGAGCAUCACGACCCACAUAGCACUAGCAAACAGUUCUGUAUGAAAUCCUGGAAGCAUUUCAUUUUCUCAGCAAUUAUUUUCUUUAGAUCUUUCAACAACGUGGUGACUGUUCAUGUCCUUAAUUAAUCCAAACCUACAUCCCUUGUUAAAUCUAAAGACGUGUUUGCAUAAUUUUGUGAGUUUUUCCCAUGCUUUGUUGAUUUUUUUCCCUCUUAAUCUUUUAUUGUCUGUAAGUCACCAAAUGCAGAAGAUAGAUAUAGUUGUGAAGAUAAUGAAAACUUAAUAGUUUUAUAUGGUGAAGCAACCAUUUUAAGGACAACUGAUAAGGAAAAGUCGAACAAGGAUUAGUAGUCCAGUGUUUGGUUACUAUGCAACUAUCUUCAGCUUGAGUAAAUCCACAGUGUUCAGUUCAAGCCAUGUUUUGUAGGUAUCUUCCUUUACAUUUUCUUUACAAAAUGGUUUGUUGAUCUAGCCGAGGGCUUCACUUCAUUCAAUUCACUAUAUUUCAUUUACUAAGAUAAAAAUUCAAGUAGCUGCUGUUGCUAUGGUCAAUGGCUUGCACACUAUUUUUAUAGUGCAUAAUGAGCGUUGCAAACCGUAAGAAAAACACAUGUUCUUGUUCUAUUCAGUGUCCUUUUUAUGCCAUACUGCGCAAAUAUAUAAAUGUUUUAUGUCCAAUUCAUAGAAAUUCUUGACACCUAAGUGUGCGUGUGAGUCCCCUACAAAAUCUCUCUCUCUCUCUCUAAUUAUCUCGAUUUUCCUUUGAGAUUGGAGAUGCGAACACUAGCUGUUUGUAAAUGCACAAGGAGGAGUGCUCAGGGGAGUACGAUAGCUUUCAGUGUACAUGGAGGAUGUGAAAGCGACGACAGAGGAGCUUGCUGUAGCUACUCGACUGCUCCGGGAAUCGUCCCUCCUGACAGAAGCAAGCACGAUGCCAUGUCCUAGAGUCUACUUGUUUUAGGUAGCAUUGCUUUCUGGAAUACAUCAUUGGAACCUGGUAACAUUCACUGCUUACAGUCAGCAAGACCAGAAGAACAUGAUUGUGUAUGAGUUCAUGCACAACGAAAGCAUCACCUUAGUUGAUGUUAAAUUUUCUUUGUGGAAUCAACAACACGCUAUUGUAUAUACACAUAUGGUUCUUUCGCAGCAAAAUUUUGUCCGUGCGGUUGUAUUUCAGAUCUUUAGAACUGCAGGGUGUUAUUAAUAUGGUGAGUGAUUGAAGAGGAGGCAUGAGGAGAAGAGCAGUCCAAAGGGCGGGUGGAGCAUGUGACUUGUUGAUGUUAGUUUUCAUUUCCGGGAAGAAUAAAUUUUCUAUGAUUUUAGUGUAUGCUGAUGUGUGAAAGUCAAUCAUUUGGAUUCCCAAUUAGACUAUUGUGUGUGUUAGAUAUUUUAUUGUGCAUUGAUAAAAUGUUUCAGUGCCAGUGUGCACAAGUUGAAUUUUGAAACAGAUGA